GACGAACGCUGGUGGCGUGCUUAACACAUGCAAGUCGAACGGAAAGGCCCUGCUUGCCGGGUGCUCGAGUGGCGAACGGGUGAGUAACACGUGGGUGAUCUGCCCCUUAUUUUGGGAUAAGCCUGGGAAACUGGGUCUAAUACUGGAUAGGACCAUGCUGUAGGUGGUGUGGUGGAAAGAUUAGUUUCGGUAAGGGAUGAGCUCGCGGCCUAUCAGCUUGUUGGUGGGGUAAUGGCCUACCAAGGCGUCGACGGGUAGCCGGCCUGAGAGGGUGGACGGCCACAUUGGGACUGAGAUACGGCCCAGACUCCUACGGGAGGCAGCAGUGGGGAAUAUUGCACAAUGGGCGCAAGCCUGAUGCAGCGACGCCGCGUGGGGGAUGACGGCCUUCGGGUUGUAAACUCCUUUCAGCCAUGACGAAGCCCUUGUGGUGACGGUAGUGGUAGAAGAAGCACCGGCUAACUACGUG
Molecule: ribosomal RNA, 469 nt
Filed under: uncultured bacterium
Lineage: Bacteria
Description: partial 16S ribosomal RNA
Rfam family: Bacterial small subunit ribosomal RNA
Source: RNAcentral